This 504-nucleotide ribosomal RNA is filed under the name uncultured bacterium. Its description in RNAcentral is "bacterial SSU rRNA". It matches the Rfam family "Bacterial small subunit ribosomal RNA", at positions 8 to 526 of the family's 1533-position model. The record is from RNAcentral.
AGAGUUUGAUCAUGGCUCAGGACGAACGCUGGCGGCGUGCUUAACACAUGCAAGUCGAGCGGUAAGGCUCCUUCGGGAGUACACGAGCGGCGAACGGGUGAGUAACACGUGAGCAAUCUGCCCUUCACUUCGGGAUAACUCCGGGAAACCGAAGCUAAUACCGAAUACGACCACUUCCGGCAUCGGAUGGUGGUGGAAAGUUCCGGCGGUGAAGGAUGAGCUCGCGGCCUAUCAGCUUGUUGGUGGGGUAACGGCCCACCAAGGCUUCGACGGGUAGCCGGCCUGAGAGGGUGACCGGCCACACUGGGACUGAGACACGGCCCAGACUCCUACGGGAGGCAGCAGUGGGGAAUAUUGGACAAUGGGCGAAAGCCUGAUCCAGCAACGCCGCGUGAGGGAUGACGGCCUUCGGGUUGUAAACCUCUUUCAGCAGGGACGAAGCGCAAGUGACGGUACCUGCAGAAGAAGCACCGGCCAACUACGUGCCAGCAGCCGCGGUAAUAC